This 643-nucleotide ribosomal RNA is filed under the name uncultured Modestobacter sp. RNAcentral describes it as "bacterial SSU rRNA". It matches the Rfam family "Bacterial small subunit ribosomal RNA", at positions 232 to 885 of the family's 1533-position model. Lineage: Bacteria; Bacillati; Actinomycetota; Actinomycetes; Geodermatophilales; Geodermatophilaceae. The record is from RNAcentral.
CGCGGCCUAUCAGCUUGUUGGUGGGGUAGUGGCCCACCAAGGCGACGACGGGUAGCCGGCCUGAGAGGGUGACCGGCCACACUGGGACUGAGACACGGCCCAGACUCCUACGGGAGGCAGCAGUGGGGAAUAUUGCGCAAUGGGCGAAAGCCUGACGCAGCGACGCCGCGUGAGGGAUGACGGCCUUCGGGUUGUAAACCUCUUUCAGUAGGGACGAAGCGCAAGUGACGGUACCUACAGAAGAAGCACCGGCCAACUACGUGCCAGCAGCCGCGGUAAUACGUAGGGUGCAAGCGUUGUCCGGAAUUAUUGGGCGUAAAGAGCUCGUAGGCGGUCUGUCGCGUCGGCUGUGAAAACCCGAGGCUCAACCUCGGGCCUGCAGUCGAUACGGGCAAACUAGAGUACUGCAGGGGAGACUGGAAUUCCUGGUGUAGCGGUGAAAUGCGCAGAUAUCAGGAGGAACACCGGUGGCGAAGGCGGGUCUCUGGGCAGUAACUGACGCUGAGGAGCGAAAGCGUGGGGAGCGAACAGGAUUAGAUACCCUGGUAGUCCACGCCGUAAACGUUGGGCGCUAGGUGUGGGGGCCAUUCCACGGUCUCCGUGCCGCAGCUAACGCAUUAAGCGCCCCGCCUGGGGAGUACGG